RNAcentral lists this ribosomal RNA (253 nucleotides) under uncultured bacterium. RNAcentral describes it as "partial 16S ribosomal RNA". It matches the Rfam family "Bacterial small subunit ribosomal RNA", at positions 524 to 776 of the family's 1533-position model. The record is from RNAcentral.
UACGAAGGGGGCUAGCGUUGCUCGGAAUCACUGGGCGUAAAGCGCACGUAGGCGGAUUUGUUAGUCAGGGGUGAAAUCCCGGGGCUCAACCUCGGAACUGCCUUUGAUACUGCAAGUCUCGAGUCCGAUAGAGGUGGGUGGAAUUCCUAGUGUAGAGGUGAAAUUCGUAGAUAUUAGGAAGAACACCGGUGGCGAAGGCGGCCCACUGGAUCGGUACUGACGCUGAGGUGCGAAAGCGUGGGGAGCAAACAGG